RNA transcript from Nothobranchius furzeri (turquoise killifish), 1595 nucleotides. It is a transcript of the gene named coiled-coil domain containing 74B, with no coding region annotated. The record is from RefSeq and is a predicted model, not a curated record. Lineage: Eukaryota; Metazoa; Chordata; Actinopteri; Cyprinodontiformes; Nothobranchiidae.
UGUCUACCAUUUUUUGAACGAAUAUAUCUUUUUUUAUUGUUUGUGAUAUUUGUUGUCUUGAUAUCAGUUUCAUUGAAGUUGGACGUUUUUGCGUGAAUACAAUUUGCUGUAGGUCGUAGAAAGUACUUUUCUUUAAUUUUUUUAUUGUUAACAUUCACUCGUAGACGUAGGAGUUUUCCUUGUAAAGUCAGUGACACUAACGUUGUAAUAAAGUUUUAUAUUUCCGGUUCAGUAGCUAACAAAAUGCCUUAUUUCCUCAGGGCAUGGUUGUCAUAGCAACGUCGCAGUUGUCACGGCAACUUUGAAGCGCGUGAUAAAUGAGAGCUGAAGCUAUCCGAGAAUUUACAGCCUUUUUAAAACCACGUGCGUCUUUAGCUAACUUCUGUCAUCGUUUUAGCACUACACUGUCAGCUGAGCUGCCUUCACGCUGAAAUGUAAACGCCAGUGUUUUGAAAAAAAAUCGUGUUUUUCGAGUAAAAAGCGCUUAAAGUAGGGGAGUCGUUAGCUAAACGAAGCAGAGAUGUCAGGAAGCAACAGUCUCCCUCCGUUACAGCAUUUGCCACAUUGGCCCAGAGCUGGGUGUCUCGCUAAACCGUGCUCUCCGCUACCUUUACCGGUGAACCCACCGCAGCAUCCCCUGCCUGCUGUCAUCCAGCUGAAGGCCAGAGGAGUGGAGUUCGCCGCCGCUGAAGCAGCGGAGGAGUCCGGUCUCAGCGGCGAGGAGGACCCCCGCAUCGCCUCGCUGCAGAGGAAUAUCGAGUUUCUGCAGCGACAGCACUCGGAAACUCUUGAGAAGCUGCAUGUGGAAAUUGAGUAUCUCAGGAGGAGGAACAAAGAACUGCAGUAUAAGCUGAUUAUGGAGUCUUCUAAAUCAAGAGGAGUGAAACAAAGUCUCCGAGACAAAAGGCCACCCACCCAGGGCAGUGAGGCCCACACAGGACCCUACAUGGAGGCACCGCUGCAAGAUACAUGGCCCUUACAGGACCGGACUUUUAGAGGUUUAGAAGAAGGUAGUAAGUGUCUGAGAUCAGCCAGGCCGCAGCGUGGAGCCGACAUGAUGGGGCACCUCAUCACUUCCUUACAACCUCUACGAAUCAACAGCGGUCUGUCUCAUCCCCCGCGAGCUCCCACGCUGCAGGAGUGUGAGGUCAUCAUUCGACAGCUCUACAACGCCAACAGCUUACAGUCUCAGGAAUGUACCAGGAGUGAAGGAGCUGUUCAUAGCCUCCACAGUGGAACGCAUUGGAUAAUACGUGUGAAGGCCCUGCUGAGAGACAUCGUUCUGAGUAAAAAAGUCACCCCAGAAAACUACAUUCUGACCAAAUCAUACCUCACCAAUGGCCCUAGGUAAACAAAUCUUUAGAAGAAAAGAAAUUUCCCAAACUUGGUCAUCAGUUGUUUGGAGAGAACGUGUCUAGACCCUCUCAGUCUGGAGUUGUCCUCCCAGCCCUAAAGCAGAGCCUCAACUCCAGCAUCGCAGAAAGACAGAGGAGGACCCGUGCGAUGCAGAGAGACCGCUUAAAAAAGACUCUGUGGUGACUGAUCGAAACCUCCACAGCAUCAGACUUAGCAAUAAAGCUAUUGAUGCUUUUUUA